GACGAACGCUGGCGGCGUGCUUAACACAUGCAAGUCGAACGGAAAGGCCCUGCUUUUGUGGGGUGCUCGAGUGGCGAACGGGUGAGUAACACGUGAGUAACCUGCCCUUGACUUUGGGAUAACUUCAGGAAACUGGGGCUAAUACCGGAUAGGAGCUCCUGCUGCAUGGUGGGGGUUGGAAAGUUUCGGCGGUUGGGGAUGGACUCGAGGCUUAUCAGCUUGUUGGUGGGGUAGUGGCUUACCAAGGCUUUGAAGGGUAGCCGGCCUGAGAGGGUGACCGGCCACAUUGCUCCUGAGAUACGGCCCAGUCUCCUACGUGAGGCAGCAGUGGGGAAUAUUGCACAAUGGGCGGAAGCCUGUUGCAGCAACGCCGCGUGCGUGAUGACGUCCUUCGGGUUGUAAACCGCUUUCGCCUGUGACGAAGCGUGAGUGACGGUAAUGGGUAAAGAAGCACCGGCUAACUACGUG
RNAcentral lists this ribosomal RNA (468 nucleotides) under uncultured bacterium. RNAcentral's name for it is "partial 16S ribosomal RNA". It matches the Rfam family "Bacterial small subunit ribosomal RNA", at positions 28 to 507 of the family's 1533-position model. The record is from RNAcentral.